CAAAUUUCUCAAUACCAAAUUGAAAUUCAUCGUUGUUGAGGUUUUACUCGGGAUAUUCAGACGCGGUCUUCGUCUUUUCACUCGAUUAAUAUUUGAGUUUGAAAGCUACGAAUCGAGGUCCAAUUUUAUUCCCCUCUUUUAUUUAAUGUUUAUUAUAUUUGGUGUGUUGGAGUGAAUAUUGUGUUUGGUUGAUGAUUGUGACGUGGUGAUAUGUUUCGAUAUUGUGUUUGAGCAAUCGUGAUUACUGUGGUUGAUAUUGAUUGAUUGAUUCACGUGAAUGAAGGAAUUGAAAGAUUUGAAUUCAUGUGGGAAUUAGUGGUGCGAGAAUUGAAAACUUGAUAUAAUUAGUGAAUUUUGAUUAGUUUGAUUCAUGAGUUGUUUGACUUGAAAUAAACAUUAAUUGAAUUUGGUAGUAUCAAGAUACGCCGAUUGAAAUAGGCAAGACGUAGGUCGGGUAGGCAAAUCUAGAGAUUGUGGGUUGAUUGAAUGUUUGAAAUUUGAUUGAAUGGUUUGAUUUUAUCACUUUUGAAUCAAUUGUAUAAUUUGGCCGGGGAAUGCCCCGAAGUAUCUGUAUAUAUUUAUUCACUGGGGAAUGUCCCGAGGUAUCAUGUACUCGGAGGAAGUUUGUGAUGAAGGCCCGAGGCGUUGGGUAGAGCAUUAGUCUAGAAUUAAUUUAGAGUAGGAUUUAUUUUUACACAUUUUUUUAUUUUUAGACUGAACACUAAAUUUUGGAUUGUUUUAUCUUGUUUGCUUGAUUGAGAUACGUAGGCAACUUAUUAUUGGUUCGGGGAUAUUAUUUAAAAAAAUUCAAAAAGAUUUUCGUCACUCUUCAUCUAGAGUAGGUGUUUCAUACAUGUCUUGAAAAGAAAAAUACAAAAAAAAAUUCGGGAUCCAUCUUGUUUUGUCCCUUUGGCAUUUGUGUUCAAACCCUUCUAUCUUUUAUUUCAACUAAAUGAAGUGUCCCUUUCCCUUUAUGUUUUAAAUAUGUGUUGUUUGUUUGUUUUCUUUAUACAAUACACUUUAUGUUGAUUCUAGUGAUAUGACAUACCUACGGAGUCUUCAGCCAGAUCUUAAAAUCCAAUUUAAUCAUGAAACAUUGGAUCAGCGGGAUAAAGUUAGGAGAAACAUCUGAGAAAAUAGUAGAGUGCUGAGACAUUUGGUGACAAGUUGAAGCCUUCUUUGAAAAUUAAGGCACUUAUUUUGAGAUAACUUGGUCAUCAAUGGAAAGACAUGUCUCAAUUAGGUCAAAUAGUGGUUGCGUGAACAAAAAAAUAAUCAACCCCACAAAAUCAUGAGUCAUUCAAUGUGAGGAAUGUACAACAAAAGUGGAGUUGUACGCUAGAAAAGCACAGAAGAAGUAUGACGCAUAGACUCAGUCAAAGUUAAUGCUUAAAAAGAUGUCACAAAUGAUCUUCAUCUCUCACUUUCAUAUUAUAUGAUAUGUACUUUCAUUUUCAAGGAUUGAUAUGACGAAGGCAUUUCAUUCUGCUAUCCAAACAUCGUGUCAUCCUUUAUUUACCCCAUUUGAGAUUUAAUCCUAUUUUCUUUCAUACUCUUCUUUUGGAAUCAAGAUAGAGUCAGCAAAGCUCAAAAGAAAAGUAUCGAGCAAAACAAUAGAGUCAGAAAAAUUUUAAAAAAAAUAAAAGAGGAAAAAAAAAUGUCCAAAAAAAAAGAGAAGAGUGUCGAGAAAAAUAGAGUUAGAAAGUUUCAAAGAGAAAAAAAGUCAAUAAAAGAAAAAAAAUCAAAAUCAAGCAAAAGAACAAGCUGCCAGAACUACGCGUGACCUGAUUCUCCUCUCUCGGGGGUGAGAUACGUAGGCUGCCCUACUUUGGGCUCGGUCCAACCAAAUAAAUAAUUUAGAAUUGCCCAGUCAAAAGAAACUGGGGCAUGAGUCAAUCCUCAUUGUUUGAGUCGAUUCCAAAAGUUGUAAGUCCCACCCCACUUCAAGUGUCGUUUGGGCCCCAUGUCAUCCUUUCUUUCUAACCCUAUACAAAAGUCAAGUUACAACUAAAGAAAGACCUUCAGAUCAAUCUUUGAGAAUGUUAGGGCUAAGCAUGCAAUGGAUGUGAUGACGCAUUUUGGGAACUACUUGUCUUCCUUAACAUAAGAAAUCAGGAGAGAAGUAAAAAUGAGAGAGUCUUAUUGGUGAAAACCCUCACGGGCAUCGUGAGUUGAAUGGUGAGUUGAGAGAAAUAAAAAUGAGAGAGUCUUAUCGGUGAAAAUCCUCAUGGGCACUGUAAGGCGACAGUGAGUUGAGACAAAUGAAAAUCAGAGUCUUAUUAGUGAAAACCCCUUAUAGACAUCAUAAGGCAAUAAUGAGCUGAGGAAAAUUAAAUAAGAAAGACUUGUUGACGAAAACCUUUCAAGGUGCCACUAGCCGAAUGAGGUCUCUGAAUACAAUUGACCCAAGAAAGUAACUCAAUUUCAGGGUCAUUAGCUCAACAACAAUUGGUAGAAGGUUUGGAUGAAAUGAUCAGGCAGCUGAAUCCAAAUGCAUGGCAUAAUCAUUAGAGUUGAUUGUGAUUUUAGAUAAAUUUUUCAUUUCUUUGUUUCAAAUGGGGACUUUCAUUGUCUUUUCUUUCUUUUCUUUAUCGUUAUUUUUAUUUUCUUGAGUCAGUUAUCCAAAUAAAACAAAAGAUGUUGUCAUUUUUCUCUUGUUUUUGAGUCAAAUCCAUGUCAAAAUAAGUGAGAAAAGAUUUUAAAACUGGCUACCAACUUCUUCAAUUGCACAAAGCAAGACAAAAAGGCCAGCGCAUGAAAGAGACAUGAUUAUGAGCCAAAAAAAGGGCACGCAGAAAGUUUUGUCAACAGACAAGUCUGGCAACUCAUGAAAAUACCAAGGUUUAAAGGGUUUAUUCAUGAAGCAUGACAAAGCAAAGAUGCUGUAUUUAUUUCAGAGUCACUCAUCAUAAUUCGAGUUUGGGUUAAUGACACGACAAAGUAGGGGCAAGUGCCAACAAUCUGAAAUAAAAUGAAGGGAAUGAACACUGGAGCAGGCGUCGGGACAGCCAAGUGCCGCAAGCCACCACUAAGUUUUUAAUUGACAAAUUUUUUUGUUGAAACAGGGGUAAAUUCUCUUCACUUAAUUCAGCUACCAUUGGAAAUGUACAUUCGUGGGAUUUUACUUUCUGUUCAGGACCCUCCUGAAAAAUGGGAUUUUAAUUUCUGUUCAGGACCCUCCUGAAAAAUGGAAUUUUACUUUCUGUUCAGGACCCUCCUGAAAAAUGAGAUUUAACCUUAUGUUUAGGACCCUCCUGAAAAUAGGAUUCUACUUUAUGCUCAGGACCCUCUUGGAAAAUGGGACUUUACUUUCUGUUCAGGACCCUCCUAAAAAAUGAGAUUUUACUUUCUAUUCAGGACCCUCCUGAAAAAUGGGGCUUUACUUUCUGUUUAGGACCCUCCUGAAAAAUGCGACUUUACUUUCUGUUCAGGACCCUCCUGAAAAAUGAGAUUUUACUUUAUGUUCAGGACCCUCCUGAAAAAUGGUAUGUUACUUUCUGUUCAGGACCCUCCUGAAAAAUCAGAUUUUAUUUUCUGUUCAGGACCCUCCUGAAAAAUGAGAUUUCACUUUAUGUUUAGGACCCUCCUGAAAAAUGGGAUUUUACUUUCUGUUCAGGACCCUCCUAAAAAAAUGGGAUUUUACUUUAUGUUCAGGACCCUCCUGAAAAAUGGGAAUUUACUUUCAAUUCAGGACCCUCCUGAAAAAAUGGGGCUGUUUACUUUCUUCAGGACCCUCAUGAAAAAUGGGACAACGCUUUCAAAAAUGAAAUAAUACUUUACUAUAAUUUUUGUUUGGGAUAAUUUUCGUUCUAGUUUUAAUUUUGGGUUUCAGGAGCCCGCCUGAAGAACAGAGUAAUGAAAUAGCAAGUCAGGAGCCCGCCUUGAGAACAGAGUAAAGAAAUGAAAAGUCAAGCAACAAAGUGAUGAAAUAGCAAGUCAGGAGCCCGCCUGGAGAAUAGGGUGAAGAAAUGAAAAGUCAAGCAACAAAGCGAAGCAAUUGAAAGCCAAGCAACAAGUUGAAAGAAAUUGCAAGUCAGGAGCCUGCCUGAAGAAUAGGGUGAUAAAAGUUGAGUCNNNNNNNNNNNNNNNUCUUCCAACCCUUUGAGAUACUUGUGACUUCCUCAUGACUUGGGUAGAUAGGGUGUCCGACAGGAUUCGAUUGUCCUUCUUUUUUUUACUCCUCUCUUUGAAUAAUGAUCGGGACAAAAUUCGAUCUCGUUGUUUACUUCUUUGUCUGAAAACACUGCGUGUUUACAUUUAAAGGGGGCAUGAUGUAGACAUGUAAUUUCGUCCCUCCCCGAUAUCGUUUUACCCAUUUUUAUCUUAUCCUACCCAUGUUAUUACAUCCCAUAAAAAUACAAAAAAUAACUCUCAACAAAAUUCCUAACAAACUUUUAUUCUUUUUAACAUCCUAACAACCCUUUCAAUUAAAAGAAGACACAUUACCCAUACCCCUACCCUAAUACCCCAUACCCACGUGAGCCCCUCCCCCUCAUAUUUCUUGUCCACAAAGGCAAAAAGGGAUAAAAAAUAGAAAGGGACCCCACUAGGAACCUUCCAGGAAAGCCCACAAGGAACCCAUUUUGUUUUAAGGGGAUGAAAUACAAUAUAUUCACACUCUCACAAAUAAAAAGGGCCCACACGAUAUAAUUUCCACAGACUCCACUCACAAUUGACACUGAUCUUCUCCAAAGAACGCAUAGACACUUCCAAACUCUCUUUGAUUUUUUACUCAAUUCACUGGUAAAUAAAAAAGAAAAUAAGGACUCCAUUUCUGUUUCUUGUUUUCUUCUUCAGGGAUACGCACACAGCAACACUCGAAUUUCCCAUAGGAGGACUGAUUUCCUUCCAUUAGCAUAGACCCUCAAAGUCAUCUUCUUCACAUAUAUACCCAGACCACCGAAAAAGAAAAAAAAUAGACUAAAAACUGAAGAGGGUUGAUUGGAAUAGGGGAUUGGUGCGAGGUUCGAUCCUUCUCCAAGCCUUUUCUGGUGAAAACUUUCACCAGAAUUGAUUUUAGUUCAUUGUUCGGUUGACCAGUUCAAGAAGAAUCCAAAUUUCUUCAUUUUUCUUUGAUUUCUAAGGGAAUCUGGCUGGAAACAUUAAGUUUUGGCCAAAAAAUGUGAACCAGCAGCGAAUUCUUCACUGAAAUUGGUCCAGUUUUGACUUAGUUUUGCGAUUAGCUUUUGUGCAUGGGUUGGGUUUAUUCUGUUGCUUUUUGUUUCGUUCUUCGACCUUCGUAUUGAUUUUGGGGUUUAAAUUCUGUUCGUCCCGAUCAGUUCGUAGCUAUCAGUCUUUGGCUUUCAAAUUUCUCAAUACCAAAUUGGAAUUCAUCGUUGUUGAGGUUCUGCUCGGGAUAUUCAGACGCGGUCUUCGUCUUUUCACUCGAUUAAUAUUUGAGUUUGAAAGCUAUGAAUCGAGGUCCAAUUCUAUUCCCCUCUUUUAUUUAAUGUUUAUUAUAUUUGGUGUGUUGGAGUGAAUAUUGUGUUUGGUUGAUGAUUGUGACGUGGUGAUAUGUUUCGAUAUUGUGUUUGAGCAAUCGUGAUUACUGUGGUUGAUAUUGAUUGAUUGAUUCACGUGAAUGAAGGAAUUGAAAGAUUUGAAUUCAUGUGGGAAUUAGUGGUGCGAGAAUUGAAA
Molecule: long non-coding RNA, 5637 nt
Filed under: Capsicum annuum
Lineage: Eukaryota; Viridiplantae; Streptophyta; Magnoliopsida; Solanales; Solanaceae
Description: long non-coding RNA (CANN_LNC016760)
Source: RNAcentral